Protobothrops mucrosquamatus (brown spotted pit viper) is the source of this 139-nucleotide small nucleolar RNA. RefSeq annotates it as small nucleolar RNA SNORA57. The record is from RefSeq and is a predicted model, not a curated record. Lineage: Eukaryota; Metazoa; Chordata; Lepidosauria; Squamata; Viperidae. The transcript has a single exon.
CCUCCCUUUCUUGGCAGGAUCGGAUGUCCCUGUAUCCGUUUCUGUAAUGUGCGGAGGUAAAACGUACUGACCUGUGUUAUGUCUUCGGUGCCAGCGGCUUUUCCAUCUGCUGGUUCUAUCCUCAAGCGCAGGGACACAU